Molecule: long non-coding RNA, 827 nt
Filed under: Helianthus annuus (common sunflower)
Lineage: Eukaryota; Viridiplantae; Streptophyta; Magnoliopsida; Asterales; Asteraceae
Description: hypothetical non coding rna
Source: RNAcentral
GCUCACUACCACAGUGCCUCUGUCUUCUCUAAAGCUCUAGCAACCGGAGCCAAACUUCCGGCGAGCCGAUUAACUUGCCGGACAUACCCCUCCGACACCCCCUUCUUGCUUCGUCAAACACACACACCUCAAGAUCCCUGCCCCCACCCUUUUUGCUUCAGUUCAACCACCAGAAUCACCCAUAUCUCCGUCAUCGGCGACCACUGUAGGCGGCGAUGGCGUGGUGGAGGUUUUCGGGUCGUUGUUCGAGCGAGCGAGAGAGAGAUGGGCAGAGAACGGUAGUGAAAGAGGAAACCGAUGGAGCCGGCUGUUGAUAUUCCCGGCGGCCGGAAAGGAGCGAGCAUCGGCAGCAGCAGCAGCAGCCUGAAGUAGGACUAUGCAUAAAUGUGAAAAAGUAGCAGAUUCGUAUGGUUCGCCAAAAUUUUGUUAAAGGAAUUGGAAUUUGCGAUCUGUUUUCAACUCCGGGUAACAAGGGUGGUCGUUCUGGAAUCUGGCAGCCGUAACUCAAGACUACUCCGGUAAGAACUCCCAAUCUGGCAGCCUCAACCCAAACCGACCUAGCAAUUGCUACCGGAUUCGAAAGGUUCACAUACGCUGAGAUAGUGAAGGCAUCUCAAAAAUUUAGAGAAGAGAUGAAGACAAAACAAGCUUCCGAUGAAUAUGUAAUUUUAUUUUCUUUAUGUUCGUAGAUUUUAUACAUUUUUUGUUUGUAAAUUUGUAUAAAUUUAUGAUUAAUGGUAUUGAAUUUGUAUAGUUUUUAGUUUUAUUUGAUUUUGUAUCAGAUCUCUCGGAUGAUUUAUAAAUAGAAUAAAACAAGAAAAAACAUU